UACGAAGGGGGCUAGCGUUGCUCGGAAUUACUGGGCGUAAAGGGCGCGUAGGCGGCACUGUUAGUCAGGCGUGAAAGUCCUGGGCUCAACCUGGGAACUGCGCUUGAUACGGCAGAGCUAGAGGAUGGAAGAGGGUCGCGGAAUUCCCAGUGUAGAGGUGAAAUUCGUAGAUAUUGGGAAGAACACCGGCGGCGAAGGCGGCGACCUGGUCCAUUACUGACGCUGAGGCGCGACAGCGUGGGGAGCAAACAGG
RNAcentral lists this ribosomal RNA (253 nucleotides) under uncultured bacterium. RNAcentral describes it as "partial 16S ribosomal RNA". It matches the Rfam family "Bacterial small subunit ribosomal RNA", at positions 524 to 776 of the family's 1533-position model. The record is from RNAcentral.